Molecule: unclassified non-coding RNA, 520 nt
Filed under: uncultured Glomus
Lineage: Eukaryota; Fungi; Glomeromycota; Glomeromycetes; Glomerales; Glomeraceae
Description: SSU rRNA
Rfam family: Eukaryotic small subunit ribosomal RNA
Source: RNAcentral
CGCAGCCGCGGUAAUUCCAGCUCCAAUAGCGUAUAUUAAAGUUGUUGCAGUUAAAAAGCUCGUAGUUGAAUUUCGGGAUCAAUUAAUUGGUCGUGCCUCUGGUACGUACUGAUUUUAUUGGUUUCUCCCUUCUGACGAACCAUGAUGUCAUUAAUUUGGUGUCGUGGAGAAUCAGGACUGUUACUUUGAAAAAAUUAGAGUGUUUAAAGCAAGCUAACGCUUGAAUACAUUAGCAUGGAAUAAUGAAAUAGGACGUUUGAUCCUAUUUUGUUGGUUUCUAGGAUCGACGUAAUGAUUAAUAGGGAUAGUUGGGGGCAUUAGUAUUCAAUUGUCAGAGGUGAAAUUCUUGGAUUUAUUGAAGACUAACUACUGCGAAAGCAUUUGCCAAGGAUGCUUUCAUUAAUCAAGAACGAAAGUUAGGGGAUCGAAGACGAUCAGAUACCGUCGUAGUCUUAACCAUAAACUAUGCCGACUAGGGAUCGGAUGAUGUUAAUUUUUUAAUGACUCAUUCGGCGCCUUA